AGCGAACGCUGGCGGCAGGCCUAACACACGCAAGUCGAACGGUCCUUCGGGACAGUGGCGGACGGGUGAGUAACGCGUGGGAACGUGCCCUUAGGUUCGGAACAACUCAGGGAAACUUGAGCUAAUACCGAAUGUGCCCUACGGGGGAAAGAUUUAUCGCCUUUGGAGCGGCCCGCGUCUGAUUAGCUAGUUGGUGAGGUAAAGGCUCACCAAGGCUACGAUCAGUAGCUGGUCUGAGAGGAUGAUCAGCCACACUGGGACUGAGACACGGCCCAGACUCCUACGGGAGGCAGCAGUGGGGAAUCUUGCGCAAUGGGCGAAAGCCUGACGCAGCCAUGCCGCGUGAAUGAUGAAGGUCUUAGGAUUGUAAAAUUCUUUCACCGGGGACGAUAAUGACGGUACCCGGAGAAGAAGCCCGGCUAACUUCGUGCCAGCAGCCGCGGUAAUACGAAGGGGGCUAGCGUUGCUCGGAAUUACUGGGCGUAAAGGGCGCGUAGGCGGACAGUUUAGUCG
RNAcentral lists this ribosomal RNA (513 nucleotides) under uncultured bacterium. Its description in RNAcentral is "bacterial SSU rRNA". It matches the Rfam family "Bacterial small subunit ribosomal RNA", at positions 28 to 590 of the family's 1533-position model. The record is from RNAcentral.